AUGGGCAGUAAAGAGAAUGGAGAAGAUUAUGCGCAGCUUCCUUUGGAAUGGGGUGACGAGUGUAGCGGAGCCAAAUGUUUAGUAAACUGGAAGAGGGUGUGCUCCCCUAAGGAUCUGGGUGGCCUCGGAAUCAAAGAUAUUGUCUGUUUUCGUAGGGCACUACGGCUGCGAUGGGCUUGGCUUGAAUGGAGCCCCACCCCUAGGCCUUGGCUGGGCACUCCCAUCCCUUGUGACCGCACUGAUAGGUUGCUAUUCUCGGCUUGCACUGACAUAUCUCUGGGAAAUGGGAAGAGCACACAUUUCUGGCAUGAUCGUUGGUUGGAUGGUAUGGCUCCGGUCAAUAUUGCUCCUGGCCUGUUUGGUUUGGCGCGGAGGAAAACUUUGACUGUGCAGGAGGCUUUGGACCGUGGCCGCUGGAUGAAGGGCCUGGAGAGGAUUUCCUCUGAGGAGCUUCUCGACCAGUUUGUCAGGCUGUGGGAGAUGCUCCAACCCAUUGUGCUCUCGGAUAUCCCAGAUUCUAUUCGGUGGAAGUUCUCUGCUAACGGCUGCUACUCCGCUGCCUUCGCCUACAAGGGGCAGUUCUUGGGCCGUAUUGCAGAACCGCAACUACACUCUGUUUGGAAGAGCAAGGCCGAGCCGAAGAUCAAAUUUCACCCUUGGUUACUACUCUAA
RNAcentral lists this ribosomal RNA (672 nucleotides) under Triticum aestivum (bread wheat). Its description in RNAcentral is "partial small subunit ribosomal RNA". Lineage: Eukaryota; Viridiplantae; Streptophyta; Magnoliopsida; Poales; Poaceae. The record is from RNAcentral.